Non-coding RNA from Cricetulus griseus (Chinese hamster), 248 nucleotides. The record is from Rfam. NCBI's taxonomy places the organism in Eukaryota, Metazoa, Chordata, Mammalia, Rodentia, Cricetidae.
AGACAUGGGGAUGAUCUGGCUUUGAAAACUAUCACCCGGUUGAUUGCCAGAGUUGAUGCAGAUGAUCUGACUGGCUAAGCAGGUGCCCUCUUCCUCCCUCAUCAAUCCAGGUGCAUGCCACCUGAAGCUGUAUGUUUCCCCAAAUAGAAAAGGACUCAGCAUAUGAGUAGCUGCUCUCCAAGCAAGCUCUCAGGAUUGAAGGAACUUCAUUCUACUGUGACCAAUCUGUUUGAAGAUUUGGCUGUCUU